GGAUGUUAGCGGCGGACGGGUGAGUAACACGUGGGUAACCUGCCUGUAAGACUGGGAUAACUCCGGGAAACCGGAGCUAAUACCGGAUAGUUCCUUGAACCGCAUGGUUCAAGGAUGAAAGACGGUUUCGGCUGUCACUUACAGAUGGACCCGCGGCGCAUUAGCUAGUUGGUGAGGUAACGGCUCACCAAGGCGACGAUGCGUAGCCGACCUGAGAGGGUGAUCGGCCACACUGGGACUGAGACACGGCCCAGACUCCUACGGGAGGCAGCAGUAGGGAAUCUUCCGCAAUGGACGAAAGUCUGACGGAGCAACGCCGCGUGAGUGAUGAAGGUUUUCGGAUCGUAAAGCUCUGUUGUUAGGGAAGAACAAGUGCAAGAGUAACUGCUUGCACCUUGACGGUACCUAACCAGAAAGCCACGGCUAACUACGUGCCAGCAGCCGCGGUAAUACGUAGGUGGCA
Molecule: ribosomal RNA, 463 nt
Filed under: Bacillus stratosphericus
Lineage: Bacteria; Bacillati; Bacillota; Bacilli; Caryophanales; Bacillaceae
Description: bacterial SSU rRNA
Rfam family: Bacterial small subunit ribosomal RNA
Source: RNAcentral